AAUCAGUACCGCGUGCCCGGCGAGUCGGUUACUAACUAGACUGUGUGCUUAAUUGUGUCCUUGAUCUACUCAUACAUCUGCUUCCCUGAGCCACAGAGGCCAGUGAGGGGGAGGCGUGAUCUUCCCUCAUGCAAGGUGACAUCCCUCGUGACGGAGCGACCCAGGGAACACAUCUUGUCCAGAUAAGUCACACCGCUGGGGGCGCCUCUCCACAUUCCUCUCCCAUGACCUCCACACCCUGGCUGCAGGUAAUAAUAAAUUUCCAUCCGUAACUCCCCGUCUCCCCCAUCCGCCCGUGCCACCUCACCACGUCUGCGCGCGUCUGAGAGUAGGACCCUCGGCUUAAGUGGACAUUAUAAGCUUCCCUCGUGAGGGGUCCUAGUGUCUGCAUUCCUCUCCCACGACCCCCCACACGCACGGCUCCAGGCAGGACUCUCGUCAACCCUCUCUUUCCUUCCCUCUCCUUCACCCAUCUCAUCCCCCUCCUCCUCGCCCAACAAUCCACCAUCAUCUCCCUCUCCCGCCUCUCCCUGCCGUCCCUAGCCCACCAGGUCAGUGGCCCGGGACGGUGUGUUGACAGGACAAACACAGCUCUCCAGGUCCUGCGGCAGCGCGGAAGUGGGUGACGGACACGUGGGUCAGUGUGUGGCUGUCGCCCAUCACACCAGGGUUCUCGCCUUAAAUUUCAGGCGAGGGACAAGAACCUGACUAAUUGUAUUUAAACCUUCAAUUCCAGUGUUUAUUUAAGAUUUUUCAAUAUACGUACUUCAUCUUUAACGAUCAUUUUUUUUUUUUUUCGUGAGAAACCCAGAAUACUUUACACGGAUCGGCGAGCCUCGCGUGUCUCGCCUCGUAUCUCGGAUUAGCAUCGCCUGACGCUUGCCUGUUGCUUUAUGAGUCGUGUCUUGGUCGUGUCUCACCACUAAUUUACCUUCCAAGUAACGUGACCCGCCGCACUCCGUAACGGAAGUGUUUGCAAUCAUCCCUGAUUUUAGCACUAAAUAUAUUCCCCGCGUGAGAUUUAUCCUAGCUAUUCAGCGGAACCUGAUGCUGCGCCCUGGUGGGGGAGGAACGAACGAGCGGAAGACAAACAGUAAGAAAGAAAGAAAGAAAGAAAAGAAGUAAUUCGCUGUGGGAAGGGCCUUCACGUAAAAUACAGGAAGGGAAUAAAUACAAAUCGACAUCAGACGAAGCCAAGCAUUCAUCUCCUGCCUUUUGAAGUGCCUUGUUCAUUAUGGCGGCGCUCAGGGAUAAAAGCUUGUCUCAGUGAUGAAUUAUUUACACGAGCAUGAUUGAGGUUGCGGGGGCGAGGUCAACUCAUUCAUCUCACCACCUGCUCCUCCCUCAUCUCUCUCUCCCUCCUCCAGCGUCAGCCUGCCGCUCUUCCUGCCAUAGUCGCGGGGCGGGGGCGGCGUGACGAGCGUCUUGUUUGAGGCUGCGUGCUCAUCGGGGGAACAUCGUGGCGGCGAGAGCGUUGCGGUGUUCAUAAAGCACCGGACUUACGUAACGCUGGACUCUUG
This is a long non-coding RNA of Scylla paramamosain (green mud crab), 1520 nucleotides long. RefSeq lists it as uncharacterized. The transcript has 3 exons. The record is from RefSeq and is a predicted model, not a curated record. NCBI's taxonomy places the organism in Eukaryota, Metazoa, Arthropoda, Malacostraca, Decapoda, Portunidae.